GAUGAACGCUGGCGGCGUGCCUAAUACAUGCAAGUCGAGCGAACGGACGAGAAGCUUGCUUCUCUGAUGUUAGCGGCGGACGGGUGAGUAACACGUGGAUAACCUACCUAUAAGACUGGGAUAACUUCGGGAAACCGGAGCUAAUACCGGAUAAUAUUUUGAACCGCAUGGUUCAAAAGUGAAAGACGGUCUUGCUGUCACUUAUAGAUGGAUCCGCGCUGCAUUAGCUAGUUGGUAAGGUAACGGCUUACCAAGGCAACGAUGCAUAGCCGACCUGAGAGGGUGAUCGGCCACACUGGAACUGAGACGCGGUCCAGACUCCUACGGGAGGCAGCAGUAGGGAAUCUUCCGCAAUGGGCGAAAGCCUGACGGAGCAACGCCGCGUGAGCGAUGAAGGUCUUCGGAUCGUAAAACUCUGUUAUUAGGGAAGAACAUAUGUGUAAGUAACUGUGCACAUCUUGACGGUACCUAAUCAGAAAGCCACGGCUAACUACGUG
This 497-nucleotide ribosomal RNA is filed under the name uncultured bacterium. RNAcentral describes it as "partial 16S ribosomal RNA". It matches the Rfam family "Bacterial small subunit ribosomal RNA", at positions 28 to 507 of the family's 1533-position model. The record is from RNAcentral.